CCUACGGGCCGCACCAGUAGGGAAUUUUCGGCAAUGGACGAAAGUCUGACCGAGCAACGCCGCGUGAGUGAAGAAGGUUUUCGGAUUGUAAAACUCUGUUGUUAGAGAAGAACAAGUAGGAGAGUAACUGCUCUUACCUUGACGGUAUCUAACCAGAAAGCCACGGCUAACUACGUGCCAGCAGCCGCGGUAAUACGUAGGUGGCAAGCGUUAUCCGGAUUUAUUGGGCGUAAAGCGAGCGCAGGCGGUCUUUUAAGUCUGAUGUGAAAGCCCUCGGCUCUACCGAGGAAGGUCAUUGGAAACUGGAGGACUUGAGUGCAGAAGAGGAGAGUGGAAUUCCAUGUGUAGCGGUGAAAUGCGUAGAUAUAUGGAGGAACACCAGUGGCGAAGGCGACUCUCUGGUCUGUAACUGACGCUGAGGCUUGAAAGCGUGGGGAGCAAACAGGAUUAGAUACCCCAGUAGUC
Molecule: ribosomal RNA, 465 nt
Filed under: uncultured bacterium
Lineage: Bacteria
Description: bacterial SSU rRNA
Rfam family: Bacterial small subunit ribosomal RNA
Source: RNAcentral